GGAAUAUUGCACAAUGGGCGCAAGCCUGAUGCAGCCAUGCCGCGUGUAUGAAGAAGGCCUUCGGGUUGUAAAGUACUUUCAGCGGGGAGGAAGGCGUUGUGGUUAAUAACCACAGCGAUUGACGUUACCCGCAGAAGAAGCACCGGCUAACUCCGUGCCAGCAGCCGCGGUAAUACGGAGGGUGCAAGCGUUAAUCGGAAUUACUGGGCGUAAAGCGCACGCAGGCGGUUGAUUAAGUCAGAUGUGAAAUCCCCCGGGCUCAACCUGGGAACUGCAUUUGAAACUGGUCAGCUUGAGUCUCGUAGAGGGGGGUAGAAUUCCAGGUGUAGCGGUGAAAUGCGUAGAGAUCUGGAGGAAUACCGGUGGCGAAGGCGGCCCCCUGGACGAAGACUGACGCUCAGGUGCGAAAGCGUGGGGAGCA
Molecule: ribosomal RNA, 421 nt
Filed under: uncultured bacterium
Lineage: Bacteria
Description: bacterial SSU rRNA
Rfam family: Bacterial small subunit ribosomal RNA
Source: RNAcentral